GACGAACGCUGGCGGCAGGCCUAACACAUGCAGGUCGAGCGCGCCUUCGGGUGAGCGGCGGACGGGUGAGUAACGCGUGGGAAUAUGCCCUUCUCUACGGAAUAGUCCUGGGAAACUGGGGGUAAUACCGUAUACGCCCUUUGGGGGAAAGAUUUAUCGGGGAAGGAUUAGCCCGCGUUGGAUUAGGUAGUUGGUGGGGUAAUGGCCUAACAAGCCGACGAUCCAUAGCUGGUUUGAGAGGAUGAUCAGCCACACUGGGACUGAGACACGGCCCAGACUCCUGCGGGAGGCAGCAGGGGGGAAUCUGAGACAAUGGGUGCAACACUGAGCUAGUCAUGUCGCGAGAGUGAUGAAGGCCUUAGGGUCGUAAAGCUCUUUCAGCUGGGAAGAUAAUGACGGUACCAGCAGAAGAAGCCCCGGCUAACUCCGUG
This 431-nucleotide ribosomal RNA is filed under the name uncultured bacterium. RNAcentral's name for it is "partial 16S ribosomal RNA". It matches the Rfam family "Bacterial small subunit ribosomal RNA", at positions 28 to 507 of the family's 1533-position model. The record is from RNAcentral.